CUGGCAACGGGAACCGGCGGAGAGACAGCACAGGCGCACUAGCAACGGGAACCGGCGGAGAGCACAGGAGGGGACAGCUGAACGCAAAAGGGAAGAGAGGAAGAAUGGAGAAGUGCAUGCAUACUGGACGAUGAGCAGCGAUCGGACAUUUGAAAGUCGAAUCGAGGGAGGAGCAAGCCUGCGGGGUUUCGCCUUUCGUCUCGCAUGAAUACCAGCACAUUUACCGUCCUUCUGCUCACCUGCGCACACUUUCUACCCUCGUUUGCAGCAGGCGAUGACUCAGUACUCAAUAAGCCUCUUUUCACGGCCAGAGCAAACCGUGAUGCGUCCAGAUCGGAUGCUGUCUCCAGUGCGUCGGUAAAAACUGAGUGUCGACUGGGACGAGCCAAACAUCUUUAGCUUCCUGAGGAAGCAGAGGCGUUGGUGAGCUUUCUUGGGUAAUGGCGCACAUGUAUUCGAACCAGGACAGGUUAUCGUUGAGGUUCAUUGAAGCUUGGACUCAAUACAGUUGAUGUAGACAAUAGCAUGUGCACACAUCCCCACACCCCUUUCCUGAAGACAAUGACCAACUCUUUUUUUUCCCUUUUGACAUUGAGGGAAAGGUCAUCAGUUCACCGUGUCACAAAGCUUUCUGUCUCCGUCCCGUACCCUGACUCAUCGUUAUUUGAGAUGCCAACUGCAGCCUUGCAGAUGGAGACAGGGCAGGUUUAUUAUCGCUGACAUACGUUGUGAAAUUUGUCAUCUUGCAGUGCAACGACAUAGAAAUUCUGAGGAAGUUUGGUAUGUCACCGAAGACUCAAGCAAAUUUCCACAGAGGUGCAUCUCCGCCUGCUAUGGAGGCUUGAGUGCACAGGAUCGGAGAGUUGCUCCAUCACAGGCUCACCUUCCAGAGGCAUUCCCUCAAGGACAUGCCCUCUUCUCAUUGCUGCCAUCAGGGAGGAGGUAGAGGAACCUGGAGACACACACUUCAUGGUUCAGGAUCAGCUUCUUCCCCUCCGGCAUCAGAUUUCCAAAUGCUCAAUGAACACCACCUCACUGUUCUUCUUUUGCACUUCUUUUAUUUUUUGUAACUUAACGCAAUUUUUAUGUCUUGCACUGUACUGCAGCCACAAAUCAACAAAUUUCACCACAUAUCAGCGAAAAUAAGCUCGAUUCUGAUUUUCAAAACAUUUCCAUUUUGCCUUACAACAACAUUUUGUGUUCCACAUUUUUACAUACACCGACAAGCAAUCAGACAUGGUGCCGGCACAUUUAACUCUUCUCCUUAGAAUUUGGGGGAGGGUAGGGAACAAGAUCUCAAUGUAGAAAAAGAAUGAAGUCAUUACCAGGGUGGGGGGGGGGGUCAGCAACAACAGGAGAUGAGGUGUAGAGACACCAGCCCAGCAGGGAUGGUCCCAGUGUGCCUGAAGAGCCCGGUGGGGCGAUGGACUGAGAGGGAGACUGGGUCCCCAGAACCGGCGGGGUAACUGUGAGAGGGAGAGGAAGGAGGGCAGAGAAAGAGAGGGACAAGAGAGUGGAAGAGAGGUGGAAGGGAGGGGAGGUAAGACAAGAGUGGGAGAAGGGGAGAAGCAAGGGACAGGGAAGAAGGCUGGGAAGGGGAGAGUGGGAGGGAUAGGGAGCAGAUCAGUGAGAGAGAGGUACCUGAGAGAAGGAAGGAGAAUUGGAACAGGAUGGCAAGAGGGAGGAAGAGAGGGUGAGCGAGAGAUAUAUGGGGUGGGGGAAUAGGGAAACAAGGGAGGAAGAGAUGGAGAUAGCAUGGACAAAGAAAAAUGGAGGACUAUGUAGGAGAGAAGAUACAGGGAUCAACAGGAGUGAGAUACAGGCCGGGAUCUAAUCCAGGGGUUCCUAAAAUAGAAUAACAGAUCCCUGGGAGUAGAUUGCAGGCUGGGAUCUAAUCCAGGGGGUUUGGGGACUUAUGUAUAGAAUAACAGAUCCCCAGGAGUGGAUUGCAGGCUGGGAUCUAAUCCAGGGGUUUGGGGGCUUACAUAUAGAAUAACUGAUCCCCUGGAGUGGGUUACAAGCUGGGAUCUAAUCUUGGGGAUCGGGAUUUAUAUAUAGAAUAAUAAAUCUCUGAGAAUGAGUUACCAACUGGGAUCUAAUCCAGGCUUUCAGGGGGUUUAUAUAUAAAAUAACAGAUCCCUGGAGUAGGAUACAGUCUAUGGUCUAAUACAGGGGUUGGGUGGGUUAUAUGUAGAAUAACAGAUCCUGGAAGAGGAAGAGAAACUUGUGAGCCACUUUGAACAGCUGUGUUGUUUAUAUAUUUACAUCAUAAAUGAUAUCUGUGUGGAUUGUCCGUGUUCCAUAAAUUGGAAUUUACUGUGAAACUCUGUGGCCCUUCUUCACAAUCCUUUGAUGGAGAGCUUCAGUCACCAGAUCAUAAAUGGGAUGCUCUCACCACCGAUUUGCCUCAAAGGCACAGGCUGCUUCUAUGUGGCCCUUCAUCCAUCCAGCCUCUGCUAUCCCCCUCACAAGUCUGGAACAUUGAGGAGGUAGGUGAUCUUUCCGUUCAAAAUGUCUCUUCUCUCCCAAACACACCAUUCUCUCCUCCCCCCUCCAUCCUCCCAACCAGGCAUUGGACCCAUCAUUUGCCACCCCCACCACGACAUUGGCAAUUAACCCAUGAGGGACUUUAUGAAAUGCCUUACUAAAUUCCAUGUAGACAACAUCCACUGCCCUAACUUCAUUAAUCUCUCUCAUCACCAUGUCAAAAAUAUCAAAAAAAGUUGGUAAAACACAACUUGCCCCACACAAAGCCAUGUUGGGUCUCUCGAAUUAGCCCAUGGGUUUCCAAAUGUUCAUUUUCUCCAGCAAUUUCCCUAACAACUGACAUGAGGCUCACCAGUCAAUAGUUCCCAGGAUUUUCCCUUGUUACCUUUUUAAAUAGAGGCAUAUCAGACACUUGUCAGUCCUCCAGGACCUCACCUGUCGCUAGAGAGGACACAAAGAUACUGGUCAAGGCCCCAGCAGUUUUGUCUCUUGCCUCCUUCAAAUCCCAUCAGGCCCUGGGGACUGAUAUUAAUACUCAUUAAGAGGCCCAACACUUCCACCUCCUUGACCUCUAAACACCCUAACAUAUUUUUUACACUCAGCACUAACCUCCUGUUGCUCCAUAUCCUUUUCCUUGGUAAAUUCUGAAACAAAGUUCUCAGUAAGUACUUCAUGCACAUUCUCCAAAUCCAAGCAAAUGUUCCUCUUUAUCCUUGAAUGGUCCUACCCUCUCCCUAGUUAUCCACUUGCUCACGAUGUAUUGGGAUGCCUUGAGAUUCACCUUAAUCCUCCUUGCCCUUCCCAGCUUUCUAAAUUCCCUUCUUUAUUUCUUUUUUGGCUUCUUUGUAAUCCUAACUUCAUUUGAUAGGCUCCAUUUGAUCCUAACUUCUGAAGCUUUAAAUACCAUUUCCAUUUUCUUCUUGACUAGAAAUUCAAGAUUCUCUUAACUUUCCACCCUCAUCCUUCCUUCUAAUAGGAACUUUACUCUGUACGAUUGAUCUUUAACCACUCUCCACAUGUCUGAUGAGGACUUGCCAAUUAAAUAGGCAUCUGUUAGUCUCAUGACACCACGGAUUUGUGCCUUGGAAGGUUUCCAGGGAGCAGGGUUGUAUGGGAGACCGGCAUUUGCCCAAGCUGCUAAGCCUUCCCCUCUCCACGCCACUGAUGUUUUCCAAGGGAAGGGCACGAGGACUCAAGCAGCUUGGCAUCGGUGUCGUCACAAAGCAAUGUGUUGUUAAGUGCCUUCUUCAAGGACACAAUGCGCUGCCUCAGCUGAGACUCGAACCAGUGACCUUCAGAUCACCAGACUGAUGCCUUAUCCACUAGGCCACGCGCCAACACAAGUUAAACGCAAGUUUUGCCAGUUAAAAAGGUGUUCCCAAAUA
Molecule: long non-coding RNA, 3872 nt
Organism: Hypanus sabinus (Atlantic stingray)
Lineage: Eukaryota; Metazoa; Chordata; Chondrichthyes; Myliobatiformes; Dasyatidae
Exons: 3
Source: RefSeq, a predicted model, not a curated record